AAGUCGUAACAAGGUUUCCGUAGGUGAACCUGCGGAAGGAUCAUUAACACGUAUCCAAACGUUAAAACCCCCCCCGUGAACCUUCAUCCUGCUCUUGUAACCCGCGUAGUUCGCAAUCUCUGAUAAAUCAUAGCCCGGAAAAUUUACAUUGAGCUUCACAUUAAACUGUGGGGUUAUUAGGGGGCGUGGGGACCCUUUGGCAAAGCUCCUGCCCGAGUGUACGGUCUACAGGAAUCGUAGAAGCGCUAUCCUUGCACAAUCAAUGACACUUUCCGACACUGACUGCUUGGAGAAACAUUGCCUAUAGAACUACCGCUCGAUUGUAACUGUUCCAAUGUUCGCACGUAGCCAGAUGUCUGUGAAUGGGUAAAAAAACCGAACAACUGUUAACAAUGGAUAUCUUGGUUCUC
Molecule: unclassified non-coding RNA, 410 nt
Filed under: fungal sp.
Lineage: Eukaryota; Fungi
Description: partial internal transcribed spacer region
Rfam family: Eukaryotic small subunit ribosomal RNA (bases 1-46)
Source: RNAcentral